UACGGAGGGUGCAAGCGUUAUCCGGAUUCACUGGGUCUAAAGGGUGCGUAGGAGGGCAGGUAAGUCAGUGGUGAAAUCUCCAAGCUUAACUUGGAAACUGCCGUUGAUACUAUCUGUCUUGAAUACCGUGGAGGUGAGCGGAAUAUGUCAUGUAGCGGUGAAAUGCUUAGAUAUGACAUAGAACACCAAUUGCGAAGGCAGCUCACUACACGAAUAUUGACUCUGAGGCACGAAAGCGUGGGGAUCAAACAGG
RNAcentral lists this ribosomal RNA (253 nucleotides) under uncultured bacterium. Its description in RNAcentral is "partial 16S ribosomal RNA". It matches the Rfam family "Bacterial small subunit ribosomal RNA", at positions 524 to 776 of the family's 1533-position model. The record is from RNAcentral.